This 329-nucleotide unclassified non-coding RNA is filed under the name uncultured fungus. RNAcentral's name for it is "partial contains small subunit ribosomal RNA, internal transcribed spacer 1, and 5.8S ribosomal RNA". The stretch from base 1 to 73 matches the Rfam family "Eukaryotic small subunit ribosomal RNA", at positions 1759 to 1831 of the family's 1831-position model. The record is from RNAcentral. Lineage: Eukaryota; Fungi.
CCAAACUUGGUCAUUUAGAGGAAGUAAAAGUCGUAACAAGGUUUCCGUAGGUGAACCUGCGGAAGGAUCAUUAACGUACCUCCGAACGGCUCUGGCGCGCCAGGCUCCGGUCCGCAAGGCCGUGAAGCGGGUGCGCCCGAGCCGCUCAACCCUCGAACCCACUGUGAACUUUUGUCGGCGGAGGGCGUGGGGGUCGUCGUGCCCCCGCCCCCCCAGCCGCAUCACAAACAACGCGUUCAGAAGUCUCGAGCGGCCCGCGUUGCUGCCUAAUAUCUUGUACAACUUUCAACAACGGAUCUCUUGGCUCUCGCAUCGAUGAAGAACGCAGC